Molecule: ribosomal RNA, 517 nt
Filed under: bacterium enrichment culture clone G02_F12_004 (1/77)
Lineage: Bacteria
Description: partial 16S ribosomal RNA
Rfam family: Bacterial small subunit ribosomal RNA
Source: RNAcentral
UAGAGUUUGAUUUUGGCUCACAUUGAACNCUGGCGGCAGGCCUAACACAUGCNAGUCAAGCGGAAACGAUGGGAGCUUGCUCCCAGGCGUCNAGCGGCGGACGGGUGAGUAACACGUGGGAAUCUGCCCAUUAGUGGGGGAUAACUCGGGGAAACUCGAGCUAAUACCGCAUAAGCCCUUCGGGGGAAAGAUUUAUCGGGAAAGGAUUGGCCCGCGUUANAUUANAUAGUUGGUGGGGUAAUGGCCUACCAAGUCUACGAUCUAUAGCUGGUUUUAGAGGAUGAUCAGCAGCNNUGGGACUGAGACACGGCCCAGACUCCUACGGGAGGCAGCAGUGGGGAAUCUUANACAAUGGGCGCAAGCCUGAUCUANCCAUGCCGCGUGUGUGAUGAAGGUCUUAGGAUCGUAAAGCACUUUCGCCAGGGAUGAUAAUGACAGUACCUGGUAAANAAACCCCGGCUAACUCCGUGCCAGCAGCCGCGGUAAUACGGAGGGGGUUAGCGUUGUUCGGNAUUAC